UCCAAGCUAACUCUGUGCCAGGCCGUAGCAUGGGGUCCUGGUCUUCCUGUCAUAACAUACAUUACUUACCAUUGCCCUAGGGCCUCCUCUGGGCUCCUGGUCUUCGAGUCCCAUAACCGUGCCAGGCCGUAGAAUGGGGUCCUGGUCUUUCCUUACAUUGUGCCAGGCCGUAGAAUGGGGUCCUGGUCUUCCUGUCAUGGACUAAUUGGGUCAUUCAAUAUUCACCCACAUCAACAACAAUCGAUGCAAUGCGGCAUAUUCGUGGAAACUAAUGCAAUCAUCCUAUUGCAUAAUCAUGAUGCAUGAAACAUGGUAAAACAUU
RNAcentral lists this long non-coding RNA (322 nucleotides) under Manihot esculenta (cassava). Its description in RNAcentral is "long non-coding RNA (MESC_LNC002403)". Lineage: Eukaryota; Viridiplantae; Streptophyta; Magnoliopsida; Malpighiales; Euphorbiaceae. The record is from RNAcentral.